Molecule: ribosomal RNA, 506 nt
Filed under: uncultured bacterium
Lineage: Bacteria
Description: partial 16S ribosomal RNA
Rfam family: Bacterial small subunit ribosomal RNA
Source: RNAcentral
AUUGAACGCUGGCGGCAGGCCUAACACAUGCAAGUCGAGCGGCAGCGGGAAGUAGCUUGCUACUUUGCCGGCGAGCGGCGGACGGGUGAGUAAUGUCUGGGGAUCUGCCUGAUGGAGGGGGAUAACUACUGGAAACGGUAGCUAAUACCGCAUAACCUCGAAAGAGCAAAGUGGGGGACCUUCGGGCCUCACGCCAUCGGAUGAACCCAGAUGGGAUUAGCUAGUAGGUGGGGUAAUGGCUCACCUAGGCGACGAUCCCUAGCUGGUCUGAGAGGAUGACCAGCCACACUGGAACGGGGCCACGGUCCAGACUCCUACGGGAGGCAGCAGUGGGGAAUAUUGCACAAUGGGCGCAAGCCUGAUGCAGCCAUGCCGCGUGUAUGAAGAAGGCCUUCGGGUUGUAAAGUACUUUCAGCGGGGAGGAAGGCGGUGAGGUUAAUAACCUCAUCGAUUGACGUUACCCGCAGAAGAAGCACCGGCUAACUCCGUGCCAGCCGCCGCCGUAA